RNAcentral lists this ribosomal RNA (492 nucleotides) under uncultured bacterium. RNAcentral's name for it is "partial 16S ribosomal RNA". It matches the Rfam family "Bacterial small subunit ribosomal RNA", at positions 29 to 507 of the family's 1533-position model. The record is from RNAcentral.
AGUGAACGCUGGCGGUAGGCCUAACACAUGCAAGUCGAACGGCAGCACAGUAAGAGCUUGCUCUUACGGGUGGCGAGUGGCGGACGGGUGAGGAAUACAUCGGAAUCUACUUUUUCGUGGGGGAUAACGUAGGGAAACUUACGCUAAUACCGCAUACGACCUACGGGUGAAAGCAGGGGAUCUUCGGACCUUGCGCGAUUGAAUGAGCCGAUGUCGGAUUAGCUAGUUGGCGGGGUAAAGGCCCACCAAGGCGACGAUCCGUAGCUGGUCUGAGAGGAUGAGGCGCCAGAAGGGAACUGAGACACGGUCCAGACGCCUACGGGAGGCAGCAGUGGGGAAUGUUGGACAAUGGGCGCAAGCCUGAUCCAGCCAUACCGCGUGGGUGAAGAAGGCCUUCGGGUUGUAAAGCCCUUUUGUUGGGAAAGAAAAGCAGCAGGUUAAUACCCCGCUGUUCUGACGGUACCCAAAGAAUAAGCACCGGCUAACUUCGUG